CCUACGGGAGGCAGCAGUGGGGAAUAUUGGGCAAUGGGCGCAAGCCUGACCCAGCAACGCCGCGUGAAGGAAGAAGGCUUUCGGGUUGUAAACUUCUUUUGUCAGGGACGAAGCAAGUGACGGUACCUGACGAAUAAGCCACGGCUAACUACGUGCCAGCAGCCGCGGUAAUACGUAGUGGGCAAGCGUUACCCGGAUUUAUGGGGGGUAAAGGGCGUGUAGGGGGGAAUGAAAGUCGGAUUGGAAAACUAUGGGCUCAACCCAUAGCCUGCAUUUGAAACUGUAUUUCUUGGGUGCUGGGGGGGCAACCGGAAGUCCGGGUGUAGCGGUGAAAUGCGUAGAUAUACGGAGGAACACCAGUGGCGAAGGCGGAUUGCUGGACAGUAACUGACGCUGAGGCGCGAAAGCGUGGGGAGCAAACAGGAUUAGAUACCGUGUAGUC
This 442-nucleotide ribosomal RNA is filed under the name uncultured bacterium. Its description in RNAcentral is "partial 16S ribosomal RNA". It matches the Rfam family "Bacterial small subunit ribosomal RNA", at positions 338 to 795 of the family's 1533-position model. The record is from RNAcentral.